Molecule: ribosomal RNA, 884 nt
Filed under: uncultured bacterium
Lineage: Bacteria
Description: bacterial SSU rRNA
Rfam family: Bacterial small subunit ribosomal RNA
Source: RNAcentral
AGAGUUUGAUCAUGGCUCAGGACGAACGCUGGCGGCGUGCUUAAUACAUGCAAGUCGAGCGAGGUUACUGUUUUGGAUCCCUUCGGGGUGAAGAAGCUCUAACCUAGCGGCGGACGGGUGAGUAACGCGUGGGUAACCUACCCCAAAGUCCGGGAUAACAGCGGGAAACCGCUGCUAAUACCGGAUGCCUUUACCUUGGGGCAUCUUGAGGUAAAGAAAGGUAACGCUUUGGGAUGGGCCCGCGUCCCAUUAGCUAGUUGGUGAGGUAACGGCUCACCAAGGCGACGAUGGGUAGCCGGCCUGAGAGGGUGGACGGCCACACUGGGACUGAGACACGGCCCAGACUCCUACGGGAGGCAGCAGUAGGGAAUAUUGCGCAAUGGACGGAAGUCUGACGCAGCGACGCCGCGUGAGCGAUGAAGGUCUUCGGAUCGUAAAGCUCUGUCCUUGGGGAAGAAGGCGAAAGCUUGACGGUACCUAAUCAGAAAGCCACGGCUAACUACGUGCCAGCAGCCGCGGUAAUACGUAGGUGGCAAGCGUUAUCCGGAAUUAUUGGGCGUAAAGCGCGCGUAGGCGGUUUCUUAAGUCUGAUGUGAAAGCCCACGGCUCAACCGUGGAGGGUCAUUGGAAACUGGGAAACUUGAGUACAGAAGAGGAAAGUGGAAUUCCAUGUGUAGCGGUGAAAUGCGCAGAGAUAUGGAGGAACACCAGUGGCGAAGGCGACUUUCUGGUCUGUAACUGACGCUGAUGUGCGAAAGCGUGGGGAUCAAACAGGAUUAGAUACCCUGGUAGUCCACGCCGUAAACGAUGAGUGCUAAGUGUUAGGGGGUUUCCGCCCCUUAAUGCUGCAGCUAACGCAUUAACACUCCGCCUGGGGAGUACGA